AAUGUGUGUAACAGGUACCUGUGUGUGAGCUUGCGUGCGUGCGUUGAGGAGACGUGUGUUUGAUAAGCUCUGAAAAUUAGUUUUGGAGACAAGUGUGAGUAAAGGCUUCAGAGUGUGUAUGUGUGUGUUCUUAUCUGCGUAAGCAGGCCUGCUUCUGUGUGAAAGAAAAAAAAAAAGGAAAAAAGAGAAGAAAAAAAAAACUAUGUGUGUGCUCUUCAGAUUGAGAUGGGUAAAACAGAACUUUGUGAGAUAUUUCUGCUUUUUCAUUGAGUGUUUUGAAUCUGGUACAGACUUUGUGCGAGUCUGGUGGGACUGUUUGUAUUAUAACAAUUGCUUGGUAUCAAUAACUGCUGUGUGACUGUUUUAAAAAUCAGGGAACAGUCAAGACCAUUAUAAAUAUUUUAGACAUCUGCCAGAUUGCCCGUUGUGUAAGUCACUUAUAACUUCUAGACCUGUAAUUAAUAUAUAAAAAAAUAUUCCCAGAUUGUGUGAUCCAGAAAAAGGAGACAGGGUACCUUACAUGACGAUUUACUGAAGGUGGAAAAGAAUCUUGAUAGUUGGACUUGGAAAAUGAUUCAUUGUCAUAAGGAAUCGUGAAAACUCAUGCUUGUCAUGCAUAGAUUUGACUUAUUUUUAUUUAUUUAUUUUAUUUAAUUGUGGAGAUGGAUUUUUCUGUUUUCAAUCCCAUAUUUAGACUUUUGUGUGCUCGUUCAUGUAAAAUGCUAAUAAUAGAAAGGUGCACUUUGAAAACUCUUUUCUGAAGUGUGCAUUAGAAUAAGAUAGUUGGUGAAUAGUUAAUGUUGACCGGGUUUUGCAUGGAAUACAAGUGUCUGGAUUAGGCAGCAUUGCAUAAUGGUUUCUUUUGCUGACAUGUUGUGCUGAUGUGGCUCUCACUGCAGUGAGUUUGUGAGUUAGUUUAAUUACAGUCUCAUUGCAACAGUGUAGUUUGAGUGAUUUGUUUCUUUUCUGAAUUGUAGAUUGAUGAAUAGAAUAAAGUAGUUGUGUGAAUAUACAAAUAUAUAUAUUAUACGGUGUGCUAUGGAUAUGUCAUAUAAUGUAUAAGAGUUGCAAUAUUUAAAUAAUACAGUGCAGUGGUCACAAACACGAGGAAUGGAGCGUAUUGUGCACAAUCUGUGAGUGAAUUGAAAGUCUUUAUACUGUAACUGUGAUUGUGCUGUGAAUUGGAUCCAGGUGUGUGUGAUCUGGGAAUUGCAGUCCAUGGCAGCCAUGUUUGUGGAACGCAGUGCAGGAUGGGAAAUGUAGUUUGUGACAUGAGUAGACUUAACACCAACCUAAUAUGAUAAAACACAGUUUAAAUGAAAUGGAUACAUUUAUAGAGGGAAUUUUAUGCCUUUCACAAAUGGCGCUCAGCAAAGGAAAAAAAAUGGGUGUUAAAUUGAAACAAAGCUCAUAGAUGAUAAAUUUUAUGUUAGACUAAGCUAAAGACAUUUACGCAUUACUCCUAAUUAGAUAUAUUUAAAAUAAAGUGAACAAAAUUAAAGGUGUCAUGUAUGAAGGGUCUGAGUGAUAUUUUGAGUGUGGUACAGUUGUAAAGGGACAGAGGGUGCAUGCAUGUCUACCAUUUAAACUAAACACUAUUGUUGUACACAGUAAAAACAAAUUCAGUAGGUUGUUUUGAAUAAAAAUUACUGGGAUAAAAGAGACUAGAGAACUGUAAAUACAUGUCUAGAUCUCGGCCUCAUUUACUCUAUUUUUAGUUCUGUAUUAUUGGGAUUAUCACUCGUUAACACAGAUGGGAUAUUAACAUGUUAGGUUAGUGUACAUCACAAAUAGUCCUAGACUAAAGGAAUUUUGUUUUUUCAUUCACCAGAAGGAUAUUGAGAAAGGAAUUCAGGAAGGGAUAUGAAUGAAUCUUUGUAUUUUUAAAGACAGCAGACUGGAGCUCUUUGACGGAUUUGACGGAUUGGCUGGACGCUUUCAUACUUUAUAAGGCUUUCUAAAAUUUUUGAUAGGACACAGAGCUUUGGGAUUGGACUAUAAUGAUCUAAUAUAGUGGGAUUUCCCUCAUUUAAUAAAGGAACAACAAGAUAAGUUAAAGGAGAUGAAAAAAUAUCAGCUGCUAAAUUCAAAAAUACAGAUUCCACACAAUCAGGGCCUUGUGAUUUGUUUAUAUCGAGCAAUUUGAGUGCUCUGUAAACAUCAGAAGUCUUAA
This is a long non-coding RNA of Ictalurus furcatus (blue catfish), 2173 nucleotides long. RefSeq lists it as uncharacterized. The record is from RefSeq and is a predicted model, not a curated record. NCBI's taxonomy places the organism in Eukaryota, Metazoa, Chordata, Actinopteri, Siluriformes, Ictaluridae. The transcript has 2 exons.